UACGAAGGGGGCUAGCGUUGUUCGGAUUUACUGGGCGUAAAGCGCACGUAGGCGGUUUGUUAAGUCAGGGGUGAAAAUCCCAGAGGCUCAACUCUGGAACUGCCUUUGAUACUGGCAAGCUCGAGUCCGGAAGAGGUAAGUGGAACUCCUAGUGGUAAGAGGUGGAAUUCGUAGAUAUUAGGAAGAACACCAGUGGCGAAGGCGGCUUACUGGUCCGGAACUGACGCUGAGGUGCGAAAGCGUGGGGAGCAAACAGG
Molecule: ribosomal RNA, 257 nt
Filed under: uncultured bacterium
Lineage: Bacteria
Description: partial 16S ribosomal RNA
Rfam family: Bacterial small subunit ribosomal RNA
Source: RNAcentral